AAUUUAGUUCAUUAUAUGAAGACCGGAUGGUGAACGAUGAACUGAAAUCAUUCAUGAAGAUUGCGUAUUGUUUAUGCAAAACGAUAGUGAAACUAUCGUUAAUAAUAUUAUCAAAUUUAUGUCAAACUCCAUAAUAAUGCAUAUAUUUUAACAAAGUUUUAUGUCUUUUGUUUAAAACAUUAAAGAAGCAUUAAAUUUCACGAAAAAUAUCUACUAUUGAAGACAAUAGCGUGAGAAAAUGGUACAUGCAACUCAAGUAACAAAACGCAAUUAACGAAUUUAACCAAGGGCUAUUUGGACUAUUUGGUAAUCUCCCUGUUGUCUGUGUAGGCUAGUGUCAAAAUAACGGGGUAUCCUAUUAGUCUGUGGUGAAACAUAGCAUAUUAAUAACCUGUGGAUUAGAAAUUUAAAUUUUAUAAACAAAACAAAGUUUUUAUUUUUCAGGUUUUAAAGAGAAUUUAGAAAUUGAGCAAAGUUUUACUAAAUUAUAGUGAUCUUAGGAGCAAAGUUUACUUCGUUUGUGUUAUUGUUAAUCAAAAAUAUAAAAGUAAACAAAAAAGAAAAACUACCUCUAUCUAAUUUUGUCGAUGUCCAUUUCUUAAGAAGUUUCUCAUUAAAACAACCCUUAACUCAGGCAAGGCAGGGCUAAGGUGGUUAGCGUAACUACAAGUGGUUAACUUACAGUUAGCCAACUGAAGAACAAUCAACAAUGCCCGAUUAAUAAGUGAUCGCGCUGCUUGUCUACUACUUGCUGCUUGUCCCUGCACUAGUUAUAGCAGUAAUUUCUUUGUUUGGAAGUAUUUAGCACAUCCGGGCUGCGCAAAAGGAGAGAGUGGGCAUUUCCUCUGUCUCUUAGAAAAGUCCGCAUGUUAUUUUUAUCCCAGUGUUAAUCUCACUAAAUUGAUUAUUAUGAACAGACCAUUAUGAUGAACCACUGAUAUUGACUCAGAGACAUGAAGAUGAGUGCUUUGACAACAAGACUGACUAGCUGAGCCAGCUUAAGAAUUAUGUGGUGUGUGUGUGUGUCUAAUUCCAGGAGCUCUCUAUGUCAGCCAUCCAUCUAUAUUCUUACUCAUUUUUGUUAAUUAUAAAAUAAAUUUGAUUAUUUA
Bicyclus anynana (squinting bush brown) is the source of this 1109-nucleotide long non-coding RNA. RefSeq lists it as uncharacterized. The record is from RefSeq and is a predicted model, not a curated record. The transcript has 2 exons. NCBI's taxonomy places the organism in Eukaryota, Metazoa, Arthropoda, Insecta, Lepidoptera, Nymphalidae.